AUGGGAGGAUUCGCUCCUCCCAUCCCGCAGGAUGACAGCAACUGGGAGAUCCGCGUGGCGGUGCUGUUGAGCCUCUUCUUCCAAAUUGUCCUCAUCUUCGUCGGCCCCAUUCGCAAACGUUCGUCCUCGCCUGUGCUCAGCUUCCUCAUCUGGUCAUGCUACAUCCUCGCCGACUGGGUCGCCGACCUCGCACUCGGCCUCCUCCUCAACAACAUGGGCAACAUCGGCGGCAAAUCCAGCUCCUCCUCUACCAUCGCCUCGGUCACCAACCCUGAUAAUAGCCCCAUCAUCUUCGCCUUCUGGACACCGUUCCUGCUGCUCCACCUGGGGGGCCCUGAUACCAUCACCGCCUACUCCAUCGAGGACAACCAGGUGUGGCUUCGCCACCUCACAGGCUUCCUCUUCGAGCUCUUCUCCGCCUCCGUUAUCUUCUUCUGCUCCCUCAAGGGCAACCCGAUGAUCCCCGCCACUGUCCUCAUGUUCAUUGCCGGCAUCAUCAAGUAUAGUGAGCGCACAUACUCGCUUUACUCUGGCACCGUCAAUGGCUUCAUCAAGAACAUCGCCGACUCUCCUGAACCGGGCCCAAACUACGCCAGGCUGAUGACCGAGUUCGACUCCAAGGAGCAGGCUGGCCUGGACGUCGAGAUCGUCAUAUCCGGCACGGAUGACGAGGCCAUAAAGGGCUUGGACGCCCUGGAGGAAGGCGAGGCCAUGCGCCUGGUGUUCUACUUCAUUCUCAUCUUCCGGCGCCUCUUCGCCAACCUCACCCUUAGCUACAAGGAGCUCAAGAUCAGCCAGGCAUACUUCCUCGAGCGCAAUGAGCUGGGGAACUUGCCGGCCAAUGCAUUCAAGAUCAUCGAGAUGGAGCUCAACCACAUCUACGACAUGAUAUACACCAAGGGCCCCGUCACAUAUAGCCAGGCCGGCUUAUAUCUCCGUUCCAUCGCCUCCGCCUGCCUCGUCUCCUCCCUCCUCCUCUUCUUCUUCCAAGGCGAGAAGGGUAGCUUCACGCGCAUCGACGUCGCCAUCACCUAUGUGCUGCUCGUCGGAGGCGUGGGGCUCGACACCAUUGCGCUCGCCAUGCUCAUAUCCUCCAUCUGGAUGAUCGUCUUACUCGAGAAGACAUGGUGGCUAGCAUGGCUCGCGCGCGCCGUCAGGACAGUGCGCCCAACGCUGCCGCGCUGGUCGGAGAGGACCUCGCAGCUCAACCUCGUGAGCUACUGCCUAGGGCUCUACAGGGUCCGAGCUCUCUUCAGGGUCGCCAAGAUACUGCACAUUCAGGAAAUCUUCGACGAAUCCUUCUUCAUCCGGCACGAGCGCCUCCACUGCAGACAGGGCCAAGGGCCGCAGAAGGGCCUCCUCGAAUUUAUGUUUUAUGGGGUCAGCGCGAGGGCUAAGAACUUGUGCUACAAAGAUGCGAGGGAUGCCAGGAACUUGUACUACAACGACAUGAAGGAAGCGUGCAGCUUGCGCGGCCAGGAAGUCCUCAAGGAGCUUCGCGACGAGAUUGUGGAGAGCCUUAGGCGCCAUAAGGAAGAUGUUGCGGAGGUGGAUGAAAUGCUCGCUCUACUUACGAGCAGCGUGGAGAGGGAGUUCGACGAGUCCCUUCUGCUGUGGCACAUCGCAACAGACAUGUGCUGCCACCCAUUCGGGGCUACGGUGCCGACAGAGAAAGCGAGCAAAAUGAGGUCGAUCGGCGAGACCUUGUCGGAGUACAUGCUGUACCUGCUCAUCAAGCAGCCUCAGAUGCUACCUCCGGGCAACGGGCUGUUCCGGUACCGUGACACAUGCGCGGAGGCGAAGCGGUUCUUCGAGUACGCGGCGUGGCGGGAACCGGACAACAGCGACGCACGGAGGAUGCUGCUGCGGGUGAACACGAGCAAAAAUCCGGCGUUGUUGAAGGGUAACCGGAGCAAGUCGGUGCUGUUCGAUGGCGUGGUCCUGGGUAAGUUGCUGAGGGAGCUGGGAGAGGACCUUAUGUGGGAAGUGGUGGCCAGGGUGUGGGGGGAGAUGCUUGCCUACGCGGCAGGCAAGUGCCGGGGGACCACGCACGUCCGGCAGCUCAGCCGCGGCGGCGAGCUCAUCACCAUUGUCUGGUUCCUCAUGGCGCACAUGGGCCUCAGCGACAUGUAUGAGAUCAACGAGAGAGACGGCGUGGCCAAGCUCAUCGUCCGCGGCCAGUAG
This 2184-nucleotide ribosomal RNA is filed under the name Triticum aestivum (bread wheat). Its description in RNAcentral is "partial small subunit ribosomal RNA". Lineage: Eukaryota; Viridiplantae; Streptophyta; Magnoliopsida; Poales; Poaceae. The record is from RNAcentral.